AUUAGAGUUUGAUCCUGGCUCAGGACGAUCACUGGCGGCGUGCCUAAUACAUGCAAGUCGAGCGAGCCUGCCUAGAUGAUUUUAGUGCUUGCACUAAAUGAAACUAGAUACAAGCGAGCGGCGGACGGGUGAGUAACACGUGGGUAACCUGCCCAAGAGACUGGGAUAACACCUGGAAACAGAUGCUAAUACCGGAUAACAACACUAGACGCAUGUCUAGAGUUUGAAAGAUGGUUCUGCUAUCACUCUUGGAUGGACCUGCGGUGCAUUAGCUAGUUGGUAAGGUAACGGCUUACCAAGGCAAUGAUGCAUAGCCGAGUUGAGAGACUGAUCGGCCACAUUGGGACUGAGACACGGCCCAAACUCCUACGGGAGGCAGCAGUAGGGAAUCUUCCACAAUGGACGAAAGUCUGAUGGAGCAACGCCGCGUGAGUGAAGAAGGGUUUCGGCUCGUAAAGCUCUGUUGGUAGUGAAGAAAGAUAGAGGUAGUAACUGGCCUUUAUUUGACGGUAAUUACUUAGAAAGUCACGGCUAACUACGUGCCAGCAGCCGCGGUAAUACGUAAGUGGCAAGCGUUGUCCGGAUUUAUUGGGCGUAAAGCGAGUGCAGGCGGGUUCAUAAAUCUGAGGUGAAAGCCUUCGGCUCCACCCGAAAAAUGCAUCCAAAACUGGUGAAACUUGAUGCCGAAAAAGGAAAGUGGAACUCCCUGGGUGUACGGGUGGAAUGCGAAAAAUAUGGGAAAAAAACCCG
This 750-nucleotide ribosomal RNA is filed under the name uncultured bacterium. RNAcentral's name for it is "bacterial SSU rRNA". It matches the Rfam family "Bacterial small subunit ribosomal RNA", at positions 1 to 712 of the family's 1533-position model. The record is from RNAcentral.